GUGUUCGGGUUGUCAUGCCAAUGGGUGUUCGGGUUGUCAUGCCAAUGGCACUGCCCGGUAGCUAAAUGCGGAAGAGAUAAGUGCUGAAAGCAUCUAAGCACGAAACUUGCCCCGAGAUGAGUUCUCCCUGAGACUUAGAGUCUCCUGAAGGAACGUUGAAGACGACGACGUUGAUAGGCCGGGUGUGUAAGCGCAGCGAUGCGUUGAGCUAACCGGUACUAAUGAACCGUGAGGCUUAACCUU
Molecule: ribosomal RNA, 243 nt
Filed under: Salmonella enterica
Lineage: Bacteria; Pseudomonadati; Pseudomonadota; Gammaproteobacteria; Enterobacterales; Enterobacteriaceae
Description: partial 23S ribosomal RNA
Rfam family: Bacterial large subunit ribosomal RNA
Source: RNAcentral